UUUCUGGUGGUUCAGUGGCUAGGACUCUGCACUCCCAAUUCAGGGGGCCUGGGUUCGAUUCCUGGUCAGGAAA
Non-coding RNA from Bos taurus (domestic cattle), 73 nucleotides. Lineage: Eukaryota; Metazoa; Chordata; Mammalia; Artiodactyla; Bovidae. The record is from Rfam.